UGCCAGCCGCCGCGGUAAUACGGAGGAUCCAAGCGUUAUCCGGAUUUAUUGGGUUUAAAGGGUGCGUAGGCGGCUCUAUAAGUCAGUAGUGAAAUCUCGAAGCUCAACUUCGAACGUGCUAUUGAAACUGUAGAGCUUGAGUACAGACGAGGCAGGCGGAAUGUGUUGUGUAGCGGUGAAAUGCUUAGAUAUAACACAGAACACCGAUAGCGAAGGCAGCUUGCCAGACUGUAACUGACGCUGAGGCACGAAAGCGUGGGGAGCGAACAGGAUUAGAUA
RNAcentral lists this ribosomal RNA (279 nucleotides) under uncultured bacterium. Its description in RNAcentral is "partial 16S ribosomal RNA". It matches the Rfam family "Bacterial small subunit ribosomal RNA", at positions 506 to 784 of the family's 1533-position model. The record is from RNAcentral.